Molecule: non-coding RNA, 91 nt
Organism: Sturnus vulgaris (Common starling)
Lineage: Eukaryota; Metazoa; Chordata; Aves; Passeriformes; Sturnidae
Source: RefSeq, a predicted model, not a curated record
GUUCCUUGGCUGAAGUUUGGGUGGUUUUUGGGUGUUCCUUGGGUGUCCCAUGGGUGUCCCUUGGGUGUCCCUUGGGUGAAGUUUUGGUGUU